RNAcentral lists this ribosomal RNA (300 nucleotides) under Triticum aestivum (bread wheat). Its description in RNAcentral is "partial small subunit ribosomal RNA". Lineage: Eukaryota; Viridiplantae; Streptophyta; Magnoliopsida; Poales; Poaceae. The record is from RNAcentral.
AUGGACCGUUUCUCAAAAAUGGCACAUUUUAUGCCUUGCAACAAGAUAGACGAUGCUUCACAUGUUGCUAAUCUCUUUUGUAAGGAAAUAUUGCGCCUACAUGGAGUGCCAAAGACUAUCGUCUCGGACCACGACGUCAAGUUCCUUAACUGCUUUUGGAAGACCCUAUGCGCCAAGCUCGGAAUCAAGCUACUCUUCUCUACGGCAUAUCAUCCACAAACCGACGGCCAAACGGAAGUUACCAACUGCACACUCUAUGCUCUACUUCGAGUACUAAUCAAGAAGAACAUCAAGGAGUAG